UCCAGCAUGGUUUAGUUGGCUAGGAUACCUAGCUCUUACCUAAGAGGUCUGGGUUCGAUUCCUGGAGUGGGAU
Cordylochernes scorpioides is the source of this 73-nucleotide non-coding RNA. NCBI's taxonomy places the organism in Eukaryota, Metazoa, Arthropoda, Arachnida, Pseudoscorpiones, Chernetidae. The record is from the annotation of a GenBank genome assembly.